CUCUGAAAAUCAUCCUGUGACUAGUCAAUCCCAAGUUCAGUGGCAAAUCCUCAUCUUGACACAAUCAGGAAGAUGUCAAACUCCUCAGGGGCAACUGUUGGUGCGCGAGUCCAGCCUGUGCCCCAUGCACCACCACCCAGAGGCAAGGUCAGCAAAUCCAGACACAGCCAGAGGUGCUCAGAGCGUUGCCGCCAGCAUAGGAAAGAACGGGGACGGGGAGUGGACACCAUGCAACGAAGACAUUUUUCAUUGGAACGAUCAUUCCUUUUCCUGCUCUGGUGUGUAGCAUUUUAAAGUUUGCAAAGUUAUUUCGUGUUUGUUGUGUUAUUUUGCUUUGGAGCCUUUGUCACGUGCAGAGGAUGCACACCGGGCAGGUACUGGCCCCUUGUUUAUGGGGGGAAACUGAGUCUCUGAGAGACUGGAAGACCAGUCUCUCAGCUGGCAAAUAACAAUGCCAGCCCACGUCUUCCAGUGCCAAAUUGUGCAUUCUUUCUACAUUCUGGCCGGCUCUAAAUGAGAGUGACGAGCAUCAUUUAAACAAAACGGAUUCACUGUGUCUCCC
This 562-nucleotide long non-coding RNA is filed under the name Felis catus (domestic cat). Its description in RNAcentral is "lncRNA (ENSFCAG00000053782.1)". The record is from RNAcentral. Lineage: Eukaryota; Metazoa; Chordata; Mammalia; Carnivora; Felidae.